AUGGCGACGAGAUCAUAGAUCUCCGAUUCGAUGAUCAACGACGAUGGACGACGUCGGAAUCAAUCAAAGACACGGAGGAAAAACAGGGCACUUGAGAUUCGAUUUUUUUUUCAAAAUCAACAAAUAAACCACUAAAAUCCAUCUUAAUAAUCACAAGAACUUGAUGAAGGGCUUCCUCAAGGGAUUUUUUUACCUGAUUCUGAUGAUGCUCAGCCCAAAAUUCUUCGAACAUGGUGAUGACCAUCCGAAACAAGAGAGAUGAAUAGAGGGAGGAAGAUGGC
Molecule: long non-coding RNA, 281 nt
Filed under: Elaeis guineensis (African oil palm)
Lineage: Eukaryota; Viridiplantae; Streptophyta; Magnoliopsida; Arecales; Arecaceae
Description: long non-coding RNA (EGUI_LNC034801)
Source: RNAcentral